UGGUGGAGCGAUUUGUUUGGUUAAUUCCGAUAACGAACGAGACUCUAGCCUGCUAAAUAGACGGGCGAUCCCUUGUGGGUCGAUCCGAUUUGCUUCUUAGAGGGACAAGUGGCGUUCCUAGCCACGCGAAAUUGAGCAAUAACA
RNAcentral lists this ribosomal RNA (144 nucleotides) under uncultured eukaryote. Its description in RNAcentral is "partial 18S ribosomal RNA". It matches the Rfam family "Eukaryotic small subunit ribosomal RNA", at positions 1299 to 1458 of the family's 1831-position model. The record is from RNAcentral.